CUGCCCUCAAGCGCGGCUUGUGUGUUGGGCGUGGUCCCCCUAGUGAUAGGGGGACCUGCCCGAAAGGCAGCGGCGACGUUCCGCCUAGGUCCUCGAGCGUAUGGGGCUUUGUCACCCGCUCGGGAGGGACCUGCGGGCGUUGGUCACCCACUAUUUUUCCAC
Molecule: unclassified non-coding RNA, 162 nt
Filed under: uncultured Talaromyces
Lineage: Eukaryota; Fungi; Ascomycota; Eurotiomycetes; Eurotiales; Trichocomaceae
Description: sequence contains ITS2
Source: RNAcentral